GGCGAACGCUGGCGGCGUGCUUAACACAUGCAAGUCGAACGGAAAGGCCUGCUUUCCCUUGUGGAUUGCGGGUACUCGAGUGGCGAACGGGUGAGUAACACGUGAGUGAUCUGCCCCCAACUUGGGUAUAAGCCUGGGAAACUGGGUCUAAUUCCCGAUAGGACUGCAGGGUGGUGCCUGUGGUGGAAAACGAUUUUCUAGUGGUUGGGGAUGAGCUCGCGGCCUAUCAGCUUGUUGGUGGGGUAAUGGCCUACCAAGGCGGCGACGGGUAGCCGGCCUGGGAGGGUGGACGGCCGCAUUGGGACUGAGAUACGGCCCAGACUCCUACGGGAGGCAGCAGUGGGGAAUAUUGCACAGUGGGCGGAAGCCUGAUGCAGCGACGCCGCGUGGGGGAUGACGGCCUUCGGGUUGUAAACUCCUUUCGACCGCGAGGAAGCCACCUGGUUGGAAGGGUGGUGACGGUAGUGGUAGAAGAAGCACCGGCUAACUACGUG
Molecule: ribosomal RNA, 494 nt
Filed under: uncultured bacterium
Lineage: Bacteria
Description: partial 16S ribosomal RNA
Rfam family: Bacterial small subunit ribosomal RNA
Source: RNAcentral